GAAAUGCGAUAAGUAGUGUGAAUUGCAGAAUUCAGUGAAUCAUCGAAUCUUUGAACGCACAUUGCGCCCCUUGGUAUUCCAUGGGGCAUGCCUGUUCGAGCGUCAUUUGUACCCUCAAGCUCUGCUUGGUGUUGGGUGUUUGUCCCGUCUCCGCGCGUGGACUCGCCCCAAAGUGAUUGGCAGCCGGCGUACUGGUCCCGGAGCGCAGCACAUGUCGCGCAAACGAGUGCCUUGGUACGGCGGCGUCCAUAAGCCCCUCUCUCACGCUCUUGACCUCGGAUCAGGUAGGGAUACCCGCUGACCUUAAGC
Molecule: unclassified non-coding RNA, 309 nt
Filed under: plant metagenome
Description: partial contains 5.8S ribosomal RNA, internal transcribed spacer 2, and large subunit ribosomal RNA
Rfam family: 5.8S ribosomal RNA (bases 1-105)
Source: RNAcentral